Molecule: ribosomal RNA, 813 nt
Filed under: Methylobacterium sp.
Lineage: Bacteria; Pseudomonadati; Pseudomonadota; Alphaproteobacteria; Hyphomicrobiales; Methylobacteriaceae
Description: bacterial SSU rRNA
Rfam family: Bacterial small subunit ribosomal RNA
Source: RNAcentral
GGGGAACGUGCCCUUCGGUUCGGAAUAACUCAGGGAAACUUGAGCUAAUACCGGAUACGCCCUUUUGGGGAAAGGUUUACUGCCGAAGGAUCGGCCCGCGUCUGAUUAGCUAGUUGGUGGGGUAACGGCCUACCAAGGCGACGAUCAGUAGCUGGUCUGAGAGGAUGAUCAGCCACACUGGGACUGAGACACGGCCCACACUCCUACGGGAGGCAGCAGUGGGGAAUAUUGGACAAUGGGCGCAAGCCUGAUCCAGCCAUGCCGCGUGAGUGAUGAAGGCCUUAGGGUUGUAAAGCUCUUUUGUCCGGGACGAUAAUGACGGUACCGGAAGAAUAAGCCCCGGCUAACUUCGUGCCAGCAGCCGCGGUAAUACCAAGGGGGCUAGCGUUGCUCGGAAUCACUGGGCGUAAAGGGCGCGUAGGCAGCUUUUUAAGUCGGGGGUGAAAGCCUGUGGCUCAACCACAGAAUUGCCUUCGAUACUGGAAAGCUUGAGACCGGAAGAGGACAGCGGAACUGCGAGUGUAGAGGUGAAAUUCGUAGAUGUUCGCAAGAACACCAGUGGCGAAGGCGGCUGUCUGGUCUGCUUCUGACGCUGAGGCGCGAACGCGUGGGGAGCAAACAGGAUUAGAUACGCCUGGUAGUCUCACGCCGUAACGAUGAAUGCCAGCCGUUGGUCUGCUUGCUGGUCAGUCGGCGCCGCUUACGCAUUUAAGCAUUCCGCCUGGGGAGUACGGUCGCAAGAUUAAACUCACAGGAAUUGACGGCGCCCGCACAGCGGUGCAGCAUGUGGUUUAAUUCGAAGCAUCGCGCAGA